This 22-nucleotide microRNA is filed under the name Pristionchus pacificus. Its description in RNAcentral is "ppc-miR-8232-3p". Lineage: Eukaryota; Metazoa; Nematoda; Chromadorea; Rhabditida; Neodiplogasteridae. The record is from miRBase by way of RNAcentral.
UCACCGGGAGCAGAGUGGCUAC